RNAcentral lists this ribosomal RNA (305 nucleotides) under uncultured bacterium. RNAcentral describes it as "bacterial SSU rRNA". It matches the Rfam family "Bacterial small subunit ribosomal RNA", at positions 337 to 659 of the family's 1533-position model. The record is from RNAcentral.
UCCUACGGGGGGCAGCAGUGGGGAAUAUUGCACAAUGGGGGAAACCCUGAUGCAGCAACGCCGCGUGAGUGAAGAAGUAUUUCGGUAUGUAAAGCUCUAUCAGCAGGGAAGAAAAUGACAGUACCUGUAGAAUAAGCUCCGGCUAACUACGUGCCAGCAGCCGCGGUAAUACGUAGGGAGCAAGCGUUAUCCGGAUUUAUUGGGUGUAAAGGGUGCGUAGACGGGAAUGCAAGUUGGUUGUGAAAUCCCUCGGCUUAACUGAGGAACUGCAACCAAAACUACAUUUCUUGAGUGCUGGAGAGGAA